AUGGCCACAUUAUCUUGAAACAUUGGUUCCCGUACGAUCACCGAAGUUAAGCAACGUUGACCCUGGUCAGUAUCUAGAUGGAUGACAGCUUGGGAAUACCAGAUG
Molecule: non-coding RNA, 105 nt
Organism: Acanthosepion pharaonis
Lineage: Eukaryota; Metazoa; Mollusca; Cephalopoda; Sepiida; Sepiidae
Source: the annotation of a GenBank genome assembly